This 74-nucleotide transfer RNA is filed under the name Actinoplanes lutulentus. Its description in RNAcentral is "tRNA-Val". It matches the Rfam family "tRNA". From Rfam's summary of the family: Transfer RNA (tRNA) molecules are approximately 80 nucleotides in length. Lineage: Bacteria; Bacillati; Actinomycetota; Actinomycetes; Micromonosporales; Micromonosporaceae. RNAcentral also lists the same sequence under 1 other name. The record is from RNAcentral.
GUCCGGCUAGCUCAGCUGGUCAGAGCACCGCCUCGACACGGCGGGGGCCGCUGGUUCGAAUCCAGCGCCGGACA